This 26-nucleotide ribosomal RNA is filed under the name Daldinia concentrica. RNAcentral's name for it is "partial 28S ribosomal RNA". Lineage: Eukaryota; Fungi; Ascomycota; Sordariomycetes; Xylariales; Hypoxylaceae. The record is from RNAcentral. RNAcentral also lists the same sequence under 5 other names.
GGUUGACCUCGGAUUAGGUAGGAAUA